This 444-nucleotide ribosomal RNA is filed under the name Triticum aestivum (bread wheat). RNAcentral's name for it is "partial small subunit ribosomal RNA". The record is from RNAcentral. Lineage: Eukaryota; Viridiplantae; Streptophyta; Magnoliopsida; Poales; Poaceae.
AUGGCAGCUCGGGCAGCACCGCAGCAGUCCGUUGAGACGGUUGAAGCUGACAUCGAGGACAAUGAUGCUCCCAGAGGAGUGAAGAGCUCUGGCGGCAGGCCACCAGAGAAGGAGUUGUGCGAGAGGUUGACACGCAACAGACUGGUGAUGUCGGCAAGGGACGACGAGAUGCGCCCUUCAAGUUCUCUAGAUGCCAGGGAGACAUCAGUGACGGCCCCGUCUCCAUUGCAAGUGAUGCCUUCCCACUCGCAGCAGUCUGUCUCAUGGCGCCACGACGCGGCGAGGGCGCCAUGUCCCGACAUCCCAGCGAGGAACUGGAGAAGUGCAUGCCUCUCCUGCUCGGCGCAUGAGGUGGCGAGCGAGACCAAAGGGAGCAGCUGCGCCAUGGCCAGAAGAACGGUGAAGGCACGCAUUUUCUGCACUUAUUGUUUUGCUGCUGCUUGA